RNAcentral lists this ribosomal RNA (755 nucleotides) under Salinispora tropica. RNAcentral's name for it is "bacterial SSU rRNA". It matches the Rfam family "Bacterial small subunit ribosomal RNA", at positions 28 to 776 of the family's 1533-position model. The record is from RNAcentral. Lineage: Bacteria; Bacillati; Actinomycetota; Actinomycetes; Micromonosporales; Micromonosporaceae.
AUUGAACGCUGGCGGCAUGCCUUACACAUGCAAGUCGAACGGCAGCACGGGUGCUUGCACCUGGUGGCGAGUGGCGAACGGGUGAGUAAUACAUCGGAACGUGUCCUGUAGUGGGGGAUAGCCCGGCGAAAGCCGGAUUAAUACCGCAUACGAUCUACGGAUGAAAGCGGGGGAUCUUCGGACCUCGCGCUAUAGGGGCGGCCGAUGGCGGAUUAGCUAGUUGGUGAGGUAAAGGCUCACCAAGGCGACGAUCCGUAGCUGGUCUGAGAGGACGACCAGCCACACUGGGACUGGGACACGGCCCAGACUCCUACGGGAGGCAGCAGUGGGGAAUUUUGGACAAUGGGCGAAAGCCUGAUCCAGCAAUGCCGCGUGUGUGAAGAAGGCCUUCGGGUUGUAAAGCACUUUUGUCCGGAAAGAAAUCCCUGGUCCUAAUAUGGCCGGGGGAUGACGGUACCGGAAGAAUAAGCACCGGCUAACUACGUGCCAGCAGCCGCGGUAAUACGUAGGGUGCAAGCGUUAAUCGGAAUUACUGGGCGUAAAGCGUGCGCAGGCGGUGAUGUAAGACCGAUGUGAAAUCCCCGGGCUCAACCUGGGAACUGCAUUGGUGACUGCAUCGCUUGAGUAUGGCAGAGGGGGGUAGAAUUCCACGUGUAGCAGUGAAAUGCGUAGAGAUGUGGAGGAAUACCGAUGGCGAAGGCAGCCCCCUGGGUCAAUACUGACGCUCAUGCACGAAAGCGUGGGGAGCAAACAGG